UACGAAGGGACCUAGCGUAGUUCGGAAUUACUGGGCUUAAAGAGCACGUAGGUGGUUAAAAAAGUUGGUGGUGAAAUCCCAGAGCUCAACUCUGGAACUGCCACCAAAACUUUUUAACUAGAGUAUGAUAGAGGUAAGUGGAAUUUCUAGUGUAGAGGUGAAAUUCGUAGAUAUUAGAAAGAACACCAAUUGCGAAGGCAGCUUUCUGGAUCAUUACUGACACUGAGGUGCGAAAGCAUGGGUAGCGAAGAGG
RNAcentral lists this ribosomal RNA (253 nucleotides) under uncultured Pelagibacterales bacterium. RNAcentral describes it as "partial 16S ribosomal RNA". It matches the Rfam family "Bacterial small subunit ribosomal RNA", at positions 524 to 776 of the family's 1533-position model. The record is from RNAcentral. Lineage: Bacteria; Pseudomonadati; Pseudomonadota; Alphaproteobacteria; Candidatus Pelagibacterales.